This 467-nucleotide ribosomal RNA is filed under the name uncultured bacterium. RNAcentral's name for it is "bacterial SSU rRNA". It matches the Rfam family "Bacterial small subunit ribosomal RNA", at positions 32 to 518 of the family's 1533-position model. The record is from RNAcentral.
AACGCUGGCGGCGUGCUUCAUACAUGCAAGUCGAAACGAGAAUCUGGCUUCGGUCAGAGGAAAGUGGCGGACGGGUGAGUAAAAUGUAGAGAAUCUGCCCUUUAGCGGGGGACAACAGUUGGAAACGACUGCUAAUACCCCAUAUGCGCGUACUUGAGAUAGUAUUCGUGAAAGCUCCGGUGCUAAAGGAUGAGUCUGCAUCUGAUUGGCUAGUUGGCGGUGUAAUGGACCACCAAGGCGACGAUCAGUAGCUGGUUUGAGAGGAUGAUCAGCCACAAUGGGACUGAGACACGGCCCAUACUCCUACGGGAGGCAGCAGUAGGGAAUUUUGCGCAAUGGGCGAAAGCCUGACGCCAGCAACGCCGCGUGAUUGAAUAAGCCCUUCGGGGUGUAAAGAUCUGUCAGUGGGGACGAAACUUGACGGUACCCACAGAGGAAGCAUCGGCUAACUCCGUGCCAGCAGCCGC